UAGUCCUAGCCGUAAACGAUGGGCACUAGGUGUUGGAGGAGUCUACCCCUCCAGUGCCGCAGCUAACGCAUUAAGUGCCCCACCUGGGGAGUACGAUCGCAAGGUUGAAACUCAAAGGAAUUGACGGGGGCCCGCACAAGCGGUGGAGCAUGUGGUUUAAUUCGAUGCAACGCGAAGAACCUUACCUGGACUUGACAUACUGUGGACCGGUGUGGAGACACACUUUUCCCCUUGUGGGACUACAGUACAGGUGCUGCAUGGCUGUCGUCAGCUCGUGUCGUGAAAUGUUGGGUUAAGUCCCGCAACGAGCGCAACCCUUGUCCUUAGUUGCCAACAGAUAAUGCUGGGGGACUCUAAGGAGACUGCCGGUGACAAACCGGAGGAAGGUGGGGAUGACGUCAAGUCCUCAUGGCCCUUACGUCCAGGGCUACACACGUGCUACAAUGGUCGGUACAAUGGGCAGCAAGACCGCAAGGUGGAGCGAAUCCCAAAAAGCUAGGCCUCAGUUCGGAUC
RNAcentral lists this ribosomal RNA (514 nucleotides) under uncultured bacterium. RNAcentral's name for it is "bacterial SSU rRNA". It matches the Rfam family "Bacterial small subunit ribosomal RNA", at positions 791 to 1299 of the family's 1533-position model. The record is from RNAcentral.